GGCCGGUUAGCUCAGUUGGUUAGAGCGUCGUGCUAAUAACGCGAAUGUCGCGGGUUCGAUCCCCUUACUGGCCA
Non-coding RNA from Ciona savignyi (Pacific transparent sea squirt), 74 nucleotides. The record is from Rfam. Lineage: Eukaryota; Metazoa; Chordata; Ascidiacea; Phlebobranchia; Cionidae.